This 352-nucleotide ribosomal RNA is filed under the name uncultured Racocetra. Its description in RNAcentral is "SSU rRNA". It matches the Rfam family "Eukaryotic small subunit ribosomal RNA", at positions 569 to 929 of the family's 1831-position model. The record is from RNAcentral. Lineage: Eukaryota; Fungi; Glomeromycota; Glomeromycetes; Diversisporales; Gigasporaceae.
AGCAGCCGCGGUAAUUCCAGCUCCAACAGCGUAUAUUAAAGUUGUUGCAGUUAAUAAGCUCGUAGUUGAAUUUCGGGGUUCUACCGUUGGUCGGGCUUUGUCUGUACUGGCGUGUAGAAUUUCUACCUUCUGGGGAACCGUCAUGUUAUUAAUUUAACGUGGUGGGAAACCAGGACCUUUACCUUGAGAAAAUUAGAGUGUUCAAAGCAGGCUUAUGUCUGAAUACAUUAGCAUGGAAUAAUAGAAUAGGACGGUGGUCCUGUUUUGUUGGUUUCUGAAUCACCGUAAUGAUUAAUAGGGAUAGUUGGGAGCAUUAGUAUUCAAUUGUCAGAGGUGAAAUUCUUGGAUUUAU